GGCUAUUGUAGCUAUCCUGGUAUAUAAGGUCCCGCUUGCGGGCCGUGCACCCCACUUUGCCUGCGCCCGCCCGGAGCCUGCGCUUCUCCACCUACUCGGUAUCCAGUGAGACUCGCGGCGCACCGACGGAGCGGACAUGGGCAGAGCCAUGGUAGCCAGGCUCGGACUGGGGCUGCUGCUUCUGGCGCUGCUCCUGCCCACGCAGAUUUAUUCAAAUCAUACAUCUCCUGUAACGCCUGCAAGUAACCCCUCCCACAAUACUUCGACUACCCAGAGUCCAGCAAAUGUCACGACCAGGGCAACUGGUGGUGCUCUGCAUUCAACAGCCAGCGUCUUCGUGAUCUCGUUGGCUCUCCUACAUCUCUACUGUUAAAAGACUCGGGCCAAGAAACGUCUGUACACCUCCAUCUUCUAAACCCAAUCCAAAUGGCAUCUAGAUAUCCAGUGUGACAAGGAAGAAACAGGUCUUCAUUGAAUCUGCUAAUUCACACCUAAUUUUAUUGACACAGAAAAUGUUGAGGAUCUCAAAUUUGAUUGGCUUGAAGAGCAUGUGCAGGGUUUGACUAGAUAAUGAAUGCCAAUAUUAAAUCUGCUGGACUUUCACGUGCAAGAUGAAGAGACACAUCCAAAAUUAGUUCAGAGGUGAUUUCCUUAAAUGUGGCUUAAGAAGUAUGGACACAUACAAUUCUACCUUGAAAAUCGGUAGAUUUUAUCUAGAGAUAAAGGAUGGCAUUUGGAACAGAGUCAGUUUUCAUUUGGUUCAUUAAAGUUACAUGGCCAUAAAACAGUUAGGUAAUGCAAAAAGAUAUGGUUCUAUUUAUGUUUAUUCUAGAAGGAACGUCCAAGUGUUUCUGUAAAUCCCCAAUGUAUUGUUUCACAGUACUAAUUUAAUGCCCAUAUAACUCAAAAUAAAAUUUUACAUUGUUAAACUAUCACUGUUCUCUUGAGAGCUGGACUCUUUCCUCUGAGCCUCUGGAUUUGACAUAGCAUUUGACUUUUUGUGUGGUAAUUUAUAUGUGCCAGGAUAAUGAUGGAUUGGAACCUACUCCAAAUCCAAGCAUAAUGGGUAAAUUUUGCUGAUAUUCAAUAAGAGCGCCAACUUAAUUUAGCUAAUCUAAUUCUGAAGAGUAGAAGUACACUGACCUCAACUAAUUUCAAAGUGCUUUUUAUUUCUGCAUAUGUUGAAUACAUUUUUACAAUUUAAAAAAUGAUUGGUUUUGAAGGUAAAAUUGACAAACCUUGAAAUUGAAAAGGCAAAUCUAUGAAGGAGCCAAAACUGUAAAUUAGGUGUUUGGGAAGUGAAGACUGGAAGCUUACAUUAAAUUCAGAAAAACUUUUAUACUCUUCCUGUACAUACUUUUUUUUAAAAAAAACUAUGAAUCAGAAUAGCCACAUUGGGAACACUUUCUGUUGUUGGUCAAUAUUUUUAGAUAGUUAGAACCUGAUCCAAAGCCUCUAAUGUGUAGGCUUAAUUUUGGAAAGUAAAUCUUUUCACAAUUGCCUCAAUGCUCAGAACCUUUUUAAAAAUAGACACGCCCUAAAGUCUUUUGUUCGCAUGGUCACACACUGAUGCUUAGAUGUUCCAGUAUUUAAUAUGGCAACAGUAGUCUUGAUAACCAAAGUCAUUAUUUUCCAUCUUUAGAAACUUAACCAGGAACACCGUAACCAGCAGAUCUUAAGCUACUGUGUGUGUG
This is a long non-coding RNA of Eptesicus fuscus (big brown bat), 1694 nucleotides long. RefSeq lists it as uncharacterized. The record is from RefSeq and is a predicted model, not a curated record. The transcript has 2 exons. Lineage: Eukaryota; Metazoa; Chordata; Mammalia; Chiroptera; Vespertilionidae.